GUGAGGAAUAUUGGACAAUGGAUGGAAAUCUGAUCCAGCCAUGCCGCGUGCAGGAAGACGGCCCUAUGGGUUGUAAACUGCUUUUAUACGGGAGCAAUAAGGUCUAUGCAUAGAUUGAUGAGAGUACCGUAUGAAUAAGCAUCGGCUAACUCCGUGCCAGCAGCCGCGGUAAUACGGAGGAUGUGAGCGUUAUCCGGAUUUAUUGGGUUUAAAGGGUGCGUAGGCGGCUUUGUAAGUCAGCGGUGAAAUUUUGCAGCUUAACUGUAAAAGCGCCGGUGAUACUGUGAAGCUAGGAUUUGGUUGCUGUGGGCGGAAUGUGUGGUGUAGCGGUGAAAUGCAUAGAGAUCACACAGAAUAUCGAUUGCGAAGGCAGCUCACAAAGCCAAUAUUGACGCUGAGGCACGAAAGUGUGGGGAUCAAACAGGAUUAGAUACCCCAGUAGUCC
This 445-nucleotide ribosomal RNA is filed under the name uncultured bacterium. RNAcentral's name for it is "partial 16S ribosomal RNA". It matches the Rfam family "Bacterial small subunit ribosomal RNA", at positions 354 to 796 of the family's 1533-position model. The record is from RNAcentral.